Molecule: transfer RNA, 69 nt
Filed under: Perodicticus potto edwarsi
Lineage: Eukaryota; Metazoa; Chordata; Mammalia; Primates; Lorisidae
Description: tRNA-Gly
Source: RNAcentral
AUUCUUUUAGUAUAACCAGUACAAUUGACUUCCAAUCAAUGAGAUUCGGACAACAACCGAAAAAGAAUA